This 343-nucleotide unclassified non-coding RNA is filed under the name soil metagenome. RNAcentral describes it as "partial contains 5.8S ribosomal RNA, internal transcribed spacer 2, and large subunit ribosomal RNA". The stretch from base 1 to 120 matches the Rfam family "5.8S ribosomal RNA", at positions 35 to 154 of the family's 154-position model. The record is from RNAcentral.
GAUGAAGAACGUAGCGAAAUGCGAUAAGUAAUGUGAAUUGCAGAAUUCAGUGAAUCAUCGAAUCUUUGAACGCACAUUGCGCCCGCCAGUAUUCUGGCGGGCAUGCCUGUUCGAGCGUCAUUUCAACCCUCAGGCCCCGCCUGGCGUUGGGGAUCGGCGCGGCCCUCUCCGGGCUGCCGGCCCCGAAAACUAGUGGCGGUCUCGCUGUAGUCCUCCUCUGCGCAGUAGCAACGCUCGCACUGGAACUCGGCGCGGCCACGCCGUAAAACACCCCACUUCUGAAAGUUGACCUCGGAUCAGGUAGGACUACCCGCUGAACUUAAGCAUAUCAAUAAGCGGAGGA